Molecule: ribosomal RNA, 253 nt
Filed under: uncultured bacterium
Lineage: Bacteria
Description: partial 16S ribosomal RNA
Rfam family: Bacterial small subunit ribosomal RNA
Source: RNAcentral
UACGUAGGGUGCGAGCGUUAAUCGGAAUUACUGGGCGUAAAGUGUGCGCAGGUGGCCGCGCAAGUCGAGUGUGAAAUCCCCGGGCUUAACUUGGGAAUUGCGCUCGAAACUACGUGGCUCGAGUAUGGCAGAGGAAGGUGGAAUUCCACGUGUAGCGGUGAAGUGCGUAGAGAUGUGGAGGAACACCGAUGGCGAAGGCAGCCUUCUGGGCCAAUACUGACGCUCAUGCACGAAAGCGUGGGGAGCAAACAGG